GACGAACGCUGGCGGCGUGCUUAAACCAUGCAAGUCGAACGAGACGGCAGCCCUCGGGUUGUCGUUUAGUGGCGAACGGGUGCGUAACACGUGAGAAACCUGCCCCGGAGACCGGGAUAACUGGAGGAAACUCUGGCUAAUACCGGAUGCCCUCGGAUGGUCGCAUGACCAACCGAGGAAACGCUCAGGUGCUCCGGGAGGGUCUCGCGGCCUAUCAGCUUGUUGGUGGGGUAACGGCCUACCAAGGCAAAGACGGGUAGCUGGUCUGAGAGGACGAUCAGCCACACUGGGACUGAGAUACGGCCCAGACUCCUACGGGAGGCAGCAGGUGGGAAUAUUGCGCAAUGGGCGAAAGCCUGACGCAGCAACGCCGCGUGGGGGAUGAAGGCUCUCGGGUUGUAAACCCCUUUCAGCAGGGACGAAACUGACGGUACCUGCAGAAGAAGCCCCGGCCAACUACGUGCGAGCAGCCGCGGUAACACGUAGGGGGCGAGCGUUGUCCGGAUUUAUUGGGCGUAAAGAGCUCGUAGGCGGUUGCGUAAGUCGGAUGUAAAAACUCAGGGCUCAACCCGGAGACGCCAUCCGAUACUGCGGUGACUGGAGUCCGGUAGAGGAGCAUGGAAUUCCUGGUGUAGCGGUGAAAUGCGCAGAUAUCAGGAGGAACACCAGUGGCGAAGGCGGUGCUCUGGGCCGGUACUGACGCUGAGGAGCGAAAGCGUGGGUAGCAAACAGGAUUAGAUACCCUGGUAGUCCACGCCGUAAACGUUGGGCACUAGGUGUGGGGCCUACUUAACGGGUUCCGUACCGUAGCUAACGCAUUAAGUGCCCCGCCUGGGGAGUACGGCCGCAAGGCUAAAACUCAAAGGAAUUGACGGGGGCCCGCACAAGCGGCGGAGCAUGUUGCUUAAUUCGAGGCAACGCGAAGAACCUUACCUGGGUUUGACAUGCACGGAAAAGCCAUAGAGAUAUGGUGUCCUUCGGGGCCGUGCACAGGUGGUGCAUGGCUGUCGUUAGCUCGUGUCGUGAGAUGUUGGGUUAAGUCCCGCAACGAGCGCAACCCUUGUCCUAUAUUGCCAGCACGUAAAGGUGGGGACUUGUAGGAGACUGCCGGAGUCAACUCGGAGGAAGGUGGGGAUGACGUCAAGUCAUCAUGCCCCUUAUGUCCAGGGCUGCAAACAUGCUACAAUGGCCGGUACAAAGGGCUGUCGAGACCGUGAGGUUGAGCGAAUCCCACAAAGCCGGUCUCAGUUCGGAUUGGAGUCUGCAACUCUGACUCCAUGAAGCCGGAGUCG
RNAcentral lists this ribosomal RNA (1292 nucleotides) under uncultured Actinomycetes bacterium. RNAcentral describes it as "bacterial SSU rRNA". It matches the Rfam family "Bacterial small subunit ribosomal RNA", at positions 28 to 1334 of the family's 1533-position model. Lineage: Bacteria; Bacillati; Actinomycetota; Actinomycetes. The record is from RNAcentral.